Molecule: ribosomal RNA, 2897 nt
Filed under: Salmonella enterica subsp. enterica serovar Enteritidis
Lineage: Bacteria; Pseudomonadati; Pseudomonadota; Gammaproteobacteria; Enterobacterales; Enterobacteriaceae
Description: partial 23S ribosomal RNA
Rfam family: Bacterial large subunit ribosomal RNA
Source: RNAcentral
AAUCCAUAGGUUAAUGAGGCGAACCGGGGGAACUGAAACAUCUAAGUACCCCGAGGAAAAGAAAUCAACCGAGAUUCCCCCAGUAGCGGCGAGCGAACGGGGAGGAGCCCAGAGCCUGAAUCAGCAUGUGUGUUAGUGGAAGCGUCUGGAAAGGCGCGCGAUACAGGGUGACAGCCCCGUACACAAAAGCGCAUGUGCUGUGAGCUCGAUGAGUAGGGCGGGACACGUGGUAUCCUGUCUGAAUAUGGGGGGACCAUCCUCCAAGGCUAAAUACUCCUGACUGACCGAUAGUGAACCAGUACCGUGAGGGAAAGGCGAAAAGAACCCCGGCGAGGGGAGUGAAAAAGAACCUGAAACCGUGUACGUACAAGCAGUGGGAGCCCCACCACCAAAGCAUUUGCUGUACCGCGUUGACGGAGCGAAGCGACGUCAAACCGAUAAAACAGCAGUGUAAAGUGAGCCGCAGGGCGCUUUGCGCGACAGCGCAAAGGCAGGCGGUUUCGCGUAGCGAAAGCGAAUGCUUUGGGGUGGGGUGACUGCGUACCUUUUGUAUAAUGGGUCAGCGACUUAUAUUCUGUAGCAAGGUUAACCGAAUAGGGGAGCCGGAGGGAAACCGAGUCUUAAUUGGGCGUUAAGUUGCAGGGUAUAGACCCGAAACCCGGUGAUCUAGCCAUGGGCAGGUUGAAGGUUGGGUAACACUAACUGGAGGACCGAACCGACUAAUGUUGAAAAAUUAGCGGAUGACCUGUGGCUGGGGGUGAAAGGCCAAUCAAACCGGGAGAUAGCUGGUUCUCCCCGAAAGCUAUUUAGGUAGCGCCUCGUGAAUUCAUCUCCGGGGGUAGAGCACUGUUUCGGCUAGGGGGCCAUCCCGGCUUACCAACCCGAUGCAAACUGCGAAUACCGGAGAAUGUUAUCACGGGAGACACACGGCGGGUGCUAACGUCCGUCGUGAAGAGGGAAACAACCCAGACCGCCAGCUAAGGUCCCAAAGUCAUGGUUAAGUGGGAAACGAUGUGGGAAGGCCCAGACAGCCAGGAUGUUGGCUUAGAAGCAGCCAUCAUUUAAAGAAAGCGUAAUAGCUCACUGGUCGAGUCGGCCUGCGCGGAAGAUGUAACGGGGCUAAACCAUGCACCGAAGCUGCGGCAGCGACACUGUGUGUUGUUGGGUAGGGGAGCGUUCUGUAAGCCUGCGAAGGUGGCCUGUGAGGGUUGCUGGAGGUAUCAGAAGUGCGAAUGCUGACAUAAGUAACGAUAAAGCGGGUGAAAAGCCCGCUCGCCGGAAGACCAAGGGUUCCUGUCCAACGUUAAUCGGGGCAGGGUGAGUCGACCCCUAAGGCGAGGCCGAAAGGCGUAGUCGAUGGGAAACGGGUUAAUAUUCCCGUACUUGGUGUUACUGCGAAGGGGGGACGGAGAAGGCUAUGUUGGCCGGGCGACGGUUGUCCCGGUUUAAGCGUGUAGGUGUGUGUUCCAGGUAAAUCCGGUUCACUUUAACACUGAGGCGUGACGACGAGGCACUACGGUGCUGAAGCAACAAAUGCCCUGCUUCCAGGAAAAGCCUCUAAGCAUCAGGUAACAUCAAAUCGUACCCCAAACCGACACAGGUGGUCAGGUAGAGAAUACCAAGGCGCUUGAGAGAACUCGGGUGAAGGAACUAGGCAAAAUGGUGCCGUAACUUCGGGAGAAGGCACGCUGACACGUAGGUGAAGUGAUUUACUCAUGGAGCUGAAGUCAGUCGAAGAUACCAGCUGGCUGCAACUGUUUAUUAAAAACACAGCACUGUGCAAACACGAAAGUGGACGUAUACGGUGUGACGCCUGCCCGGUGCCGGAAGGUUAAUUGAUGGGGUCAGCGCAAGCGAAGCUCCUGAUCGAAGCCCCGGUAAACGGCGGCCGUAACUAUAACGGUCCUAAGGUAGCGAAAUUCCUUGUCGGGUAAGUUCCGACCUGCACGAAUGGCGUAAUGAUGGCCAGGCUGUCUCCACCCGAGACUCAGUGAAAUUGAACUCGCUGUGAAGAUGCAGUGUACCCGCGGCAAGACGGAAAGACCCCGUGAACCUUUACUAUAGCUUGACACUGAACAUUGAGCCUUGAUGUGUAGGAUAGGUGGGAGGCUUUGAAGUGUGGACGCCAGUCUGCAUGGAGCCGACCUUGAAAUACCACCCUUUAAUGUUUGAUGUUCUAACGUGGACCCGUUACCCGGGUUGCGGACAGUGUCUGGUGGGUAGUUUGACUGGGGCGGUCUCCUCCUAAAGAGUAACGGAGGAGCACGAAGGUUGGCUAAUCCUGGUCGGACAUCAGGAGGUUAGUGCAAUGGCAUAAGCCAGCUUGACUGCGAGCGUGACGGCGCGAGCAGGUGCGAAAGCAGGUCAUAGUGAUCCGGUGGUUCUGAAUGGAAGGGCCAUCGCUCAACGGAUAAAAGGUACUCCGGGGAUAACAGGCUGAUACCGCCCAAGAGUUCAUAUCGACGGCGGUGUUUGGCACCUCGAUGUCGGCUCAUCACAUCCUGGGGCUGAAGUAGGUCCCAAGGGUAUGGCUGUUCGCCAUUUAAAGUGGUACGCGAGCUGGGUUUAGAACGUCGUGAGACAGUUCGGUCCCUAUCUGCCGUGGGCGCUGGAGAACUGAGGGGGGCUGCUCCUAGUACGAGAGGACCGGAGUGGACGCAUCACUGGUGUUCGGGUUGUCAUGCCAAUGGCACUGCCCGGUAGCUAAAUGCGGAAGAGAUAAGUGCUGAAAGCAUCUAAGCACGAAACUUGCCCCGAGAUGAGUUCUCCCUGAGACUUUAGGUCUCCUGAAGGAACGUUGAAGACGACGACGUUGAUAGGCCGGGUGUGUAAGCGCAGCGAUGCGUUGAGCUAACCGGUACUAAUGAACCGUGAGGCUUAACCUUACAACGCCGAAG